AAAUUGAAGAGUUUGAUCAUGGCUCAGAUUGAACGCUGGCGGCAGGCCUAACACAUGCAAGUCGAACGGUAACAGGAAACAGCUUGCUGUUUCGCUGACGAGUGGCGGACGGGUGAGUAAUGUCUGGGAAACUGCCUGAUGGAGGGGGAUAACUACUGGAAACGGUAGCUAAUACCGCAUAACGUCGCAAGACCAAAGAGGGGGACCCUCGGGCCUCUUGCCAUCGGAUGUGCCCAGAUGGGAUUAGCUUGUUGGUGGGGUAACGGCUCACCAAGGCGACGAUCCCUAGCUGGUCUGAGAGGAUGACCAGCCA
RNAcentral lists this ribosomal RNA (313 nucleotides) under Escherichia coli. RNAcentral describes it as "bacterial SSU rRNA". It matches the Rfam family "Bacterial small subunit ribosomal RNA", at positions 1 to 310 of the family's 1533-position model. The record is from RNAcentral. Lineage: Bacteria; Pseudomonadati; Pseudomonadota; Gammaproteobacteria; Enterobacterales; Enterobacteriaceae.